RNAcentral lists this unclassified non-coding RNA (9413 nucleotides) under Monomorium pharaonis (pharaoh ant). Its description in RNAcentral is "nuclear pore complex protein Nup153, transcript variant X1". The record is from RNAcentral. Lineage: Eukaryota; Metazoa; Arthropoda; Insecta; Hymenoptera; Formicidae.
UGAUCCCCGAACGCGGCCAUAUUUCCUCUCGUGGCUCUCUCUCGUCCACGGAAAGCAGGAAAGGUGGUGCGCGGUUCUGGCGGUGACCAAAUUUUCCCAGGGAGGCGAUGGUCGCGACGCGCGCGUGCAUUUCGUAACGGUCGUCGGUGCAGCGACAGUGAAAGACUAGGAGAGUGAAAAGUGGUUAAUCAUGCCCAGAGAAGGCAGCAAUCCGGCCGGCAGGCGGCCGUCGUCGCGCAACGCGAAGCCCUACGACGCGAACAACUCAUUUGUAAGAAAAGUGGCGACCAAGGUAACAGAUUUUAUACCACAGUCCUCAUGGAUUAGUAAGUGGUUCAAUACCUCUCAAGGUAACGAGACUGUGUUAGACAGUAGAGAGAAUAUUGUGGAAAUGGAGCUAGAGGAUGAUGCGCAACAGCCUCCUAACAAGCGAGCACGCAUUCGCAUGGAUGUGAUCCAUCCACCUGGCACAUUUUCUAUACAAUCUAGAGCUAAAACCACAGUUGAACCUAAAGAGCAGUACUCUAUUCAUAACGACAUGACAGAAGAUUUUCUGGAACCUGCGACAGCUGGACCAAGUGGAAUAAGCCGUUUAAUAUCCUCGACUUCUGCGAUACAAGCGGAUAUUAGGACCGUAACGUCUCAUAGGUCUGACUUAAAUUCGCUAGCUUCGUCAACCAAUAAUGGAAUAGCAAAUGGAAUGGAUGAUAAUUCGGAGUCCAGUGAAAGUACCAGUGGUUGUAGUUCGCUUAUCCCACAAAUAAAUAGGCAUGAAGGCCCAUCAAAUUUAUUAUAUAAUUCGACUUUUACUAGUAGAAAGAGACACGCUGAUGAUAAAUUGACAUUUACAAAUCAUUUACAAUCUCCAAGAUCCUUGUUUCUAGACAGUAAUUCUCGUGAUACUUUAAGUAGUCGCAGGCCAAGUUUUAAUGCAUCAAUUGUAACAAACGCUAUAGACCGCGCAUCUCCGCUAUCCUCUCCCUUUUAUAGUGGCAAUAUUACUUUCGGUGGUGCAAAUGCAGCAGGUCUUUACAAACGAAGUCGAAAUAUUUUUAGCAAUUCAAACGACAUACAACUUAAAGUGCCGAGGAGAACCAAUGUUGAAGUCAAGCCUUCUGAUGGAGUUGAUUCAUCGGGUAUGAGUCAAACUGCUAAAAAGAUAUUAGACGCACUAGAACAUUUCUCGUCGCCUAUAUCUGACGCGAAGAAAAUUCCGUUAAAAAACGCGAAUAAUGCUGUGUCUUUGGCAACGAGCAAAAAAAGAGCGCGAGAAGAGACAGCAAACCCAUCCGCUAGAAUAGGUUUGCGUCAUUUGACGCGCGAAUUAACAGUACCAACCGUCCCCGAUAUAUUGAAGUUAAGACGAAGGCAAAAAUUACAAGAUACAACUCUUAUGGCUAGAAAGAUCGUUUCCGCUCGUAGCAAUCCACCUCCGCCACCACAGGAAUAUCGACUGAGAACGGAAGAUACUGAAAGUGAAAAGUACCGCGGCAAGUUGAAGGGCAAAUCUAAAAUAAAUCUAGAACAGGAAGAAACGGUGGCGCCUGUAAAUUUGCCAAACAUACCUCUGCCAAUAACAACAUUACCCAAUUUCAAUUUUACCCUAUCACCCCCUGUUUCACAUUCCACAGGCAAAACUACAGCUAACAAAGAAAACACUUUUACAUUUGCUAGCCCUAUCAAGGUGACAGAUAUUGGGAAAAGUUUGCAGUCUGUUAACAAAUUUACCUUCAGUAAUCCGAUCAACGCCGAAGACUGCGCAAGUGAUUCAAAUUUGCAUUCAACAACAGAAAAUAAAUCUACUGUUGAUCGUGCGAUUACAUCCGUACCAAAUUUCAUUUGGAGUGGCUCAUCCACAGCUCCCAGAUUAAAAGCAAAACUAAAAAGCAGCAAGAAUAAUUCCGUCGAGUCUGCAACAUCGCAAGAAUUAAAAUCAGGAAAUAUUAUGGAUGUAUUCUCUUCUACAUCUAAAAAAAUGGAAUUUAAUUUAAUUGGACAGUCAAACUCAGGAUUGGCUUCUGAAACAAUACACUCUGACAAGACUGUCAGUACAUUUGCCGGCUCAGAUUUAGAUAUCACACGAACUCACAGUACAGAGUCGUCUUGGGAAUGUAAUGAAUGUAUGAUUAGGAACAAUGGUGCAGACAAACAGUGCGCUGCAUGUAAAAUUUCUCGAUCCGAUUCUAAUAAAAAAACUACAUCGCCCUCAACAUCAACAACGGAUACGGUUUUAGAGACAAAACCGAUCGUACCAGUCGAUUGCUUUGGUUCUCAAUUUAAACUGUCUACACAUCAAUGGGAAUGUUCGACUUGCUGUGUAAGGAAUAAACAAAGUGACAACACAUGUGUAGCAUGCACUACACCGAAAUCAGGAAGUAGUUCUACAAUGCAACAAACUGUUAAAUCUCAAAAUUCCGAUCUAAUGGAGAAGUUUAAACCUGCCGAAGGAUCGUGGGAAUGCUCCGGUUGUUUACUAAGGAACGUUGCGAACGUUAUUACGUGUCCUUGCUGCAAUGCAUCUAAACCUACUAUUGUAAAAACAAAACCGAAGCAGACAAAUAAUGUUACGGAAUCGUCUGUGCAAAAAUUGAACACUAGUACAGCCUGGCAGGAAGCCUGGGCAGGAACGCGGGAAAGAUCUAAUAAUUCUGAAAUAAUGAACAAAUUUAAACCAAGCAAAGAUUCUUGGGAAUGUCCAGGAUGCUUUGUUAGAAAUAACAGUUCUGUUAUCAGCUGUCCUUGCUGCAACACCUCUAAGCCUAAUUCUACUGAUGAACCGAACAAAACGGAACAGAUAUCAAGUAAUGGAUUUGGGGACAAAUUUAAAAAACCAGAAGGUGCAUGGAUUUGUGAUGCUUGUAUGCUACAAAAUGAUGCAAAGCAUAUGGAAUGUGUGGCUUGCCAAGCUUCAAAGCCUGGUACUGUAAAAUCAAACGAAUCUUCGAAUACCAUCUCUACCUUACAGUUUAAGUUUGGUGUAUCACAAACUUGUACAACAAACUCUAUUAGUGGACCAUGUGGAUUCAAUUUUGGGAUAGAUAAGGCUGACAAUCAAUCUAAAUCUGACGCAACAUCUCCCUUAAACGGAUUUAAAUUUGGUAAUGCACAACAGAAUAGUGGUAUGGCACAAUUUACAUUUGGUAUUCCAAAAGAACAGAAUAAAAAUGAAGUAUCUAAAACCAAUAGUGUAACAACAUCUGUUAAUAGUAUAGAAUUUUCAUUUAAUGUGAAAAGUCCUGAAAAAUCAGAAUCUAUUGAUCAGGAAGCUAAACAGAAAACACUUUUUAGUAUGCCGAAAAAUGAUAAUUUAAUAACAGACAGUGAAAAACAGAAUGUAAACAUUGUAUCCAGUGUUCCAUCAACCAUACCUUCUUUCACCUUUGGUGUACAGAAAACAGAACUUGAUCAGUCUACUUCAAAUCAGAGCACCCAAAAAACUUCCUUUGCAACAAUUGUGACAGAAAGCUCCAAAUCAGUGGUAACAACUAAUGCGGUAUCAAUCAGCACUAAUACGACGUUACCAUCGUUAUUGACAAAAAAAGAUACUACAAAGAAUAUAUCAGACACAAAACCAGAGCCGAUAUUUUCAUUUGGAGUACCAAGCAGCAUAAGUACUGCUACUACAACUUCCACAAAUGCAACGACUACUUGUCUUCCAACUUUUGCUCAAUCUACUUUCACAUUUUCCAAUUCAAAGACGUCAUCUCAGCCAGCCACAAUAUCAUCUUUUGGUCAAGUUCCGACAUCAUCUGCCACGUUGUCCACGAGUGUGUCAAUCAGAGGAAACAAGGCACCCGAGACUACUCAGUCAGUUAGCAAAGUCGUGAACGAUACACCGGCUGCUACUCCGCUCUUCCCGAGUGCCACGCCGUUAUUCAAUAAUGAGUCAAAGACAACAGCAUUCAACACUUACAAACCGUGUUUUACCGCGACGGGAGAUAAAUCGUUAGGAUAUGCCACGCCCGAGAACAAACUUCCAACAUUCGGCAGUAAUACUGAGAGUAAAUUACCGAUUUUCGGUGCGCCUGAAACGAAGUUGCCCGUAUUCAAUUCACCUGUGACAAAUCCUCUAUCAACGUUUGGCAAACCGAACUCCAGCAGUGCUGCUUCAUCGACCUUUGGCUCGACUAAUGCCCCGACCUUUGGAAAUAAUACCACAUCCGCUUUUGAUGGUACUACGACAACACCCAGUAUAUUUUCAACCACCAAGCCGAACUCAUCUUUAUUCACGUUCGGCUCGGCUGCGUCGCAACAGUCGGCAAGUGGCGGAUUUAAUUUCUCCGCGAAUGUUAAUCCAGCUGUGUCGUCCGCAAAGCCGCUUUUCACGUUUGGUGGUAAUUCAAGUACGCCGCAGAGCAGUAACAAUACCUUUGGUAGUGGUACAUUUGAAACGAAUUCCGCUCCAACGAAUGCUGCUAAUUUUACGUUUAAUCCACCUAAACAAGAAACACCGGCAGCAUUCGGUCAAGGCGCAAUAGCAACUCCGAUAUUCGGUACCCCACAGGCAAAUCCGCAGACUCAAGCGACAUCAUCAUUUUCGUCUACUCCUUCGUCCAAUACAGGAUUCAAUUUUGGAUCUACAGCUCCGAUUGCUACACCAUCAGGAGGUUUUAAUUUUGGAGCAAUGCCAUCUACAUCUACACCGACUGGAGGAUUCAAUUUUAAUCCUCCUGCUUCUGCUCCAACGGUAGCUUUCGAUCCAAAUAGUCGGCCUUCGUUUAACUUUACCAAAGGAAGUGCACCAACAGCAUUUAACGCUCCUCCUCAGUCAGCAGCACCACCAGGACGAAAAAUCAAAAAAGCAUUUCGAAGAUGCGUGCGGUAGAGAGCAUUUUCGACAUAUGACAACACGCAUACACUCAGGUGCGUCUCUACAUCUGUCUGUAUAUCUGAGGGUCUCUGUAUGUUAGGCGUUAUAUAAAAAGAUGUACAAUGAAAUUCUCUUAUACAUCAAUCAACGGCAGUGUGGUGGAAAAUGUAAAUUAUAAAUUAUUUAAAUUAUACAAGUUAUAACGAAAAUAAUAUUUUGGAGUUGGCAUGAAGCCAGUAAAUCGUGAUGGCGUUGCAUUACUAAGACCUUACCAAAAAAUUGGACGUAAUGUAUAUGUACCAACAUGACGUAUUCAAGAUAGCGUACAUAUUUGCCGAAAUCGAAAAGUAUACCUCGACAAAGAAAAUUAAUAAGCACUUAACAUGUGCAAUUGAAGUACUAGAUACUAGUGGGAGAUUGUCACCUAUUCAGGUAAGUAUAAGUCAGUCACAGUAGCUCGUAGCAUGCUUUGUAAAAAAGUCUUGGUAUAAAAUUUAUUGAGUUUAGUUUAAAAGUACUAUGUGCGCGGGCAUCAUAAUUUUUAAACUGAGUAUAUACAAAUCAAAGUAUCUAAAUACGAAUAUUAAAUAUCUUUCAUGCAUUCGAAUUUUGAUGAAAAAAAACCUUUCAAAUAAAAAAAGAUUUAAGAAAAAUAACAUGAUUCUUAUAAUUUUAAAUUAAAUUUUUAAUUUUAUGUAAUAUUAUUUAAUGGUUUCAUAUUUGAUCAUUCAAACUUAACGUUUCAUUUUUUUAUUUAACAUAUUAAUGUUAUGAGCUGUCUCAUUUUGCUUAACCAUUCUGUUAAAAAUUAUAAGUAAUUUUUAUAUUCUUCUCACAUACAUAUAUACACGUUAUAUAUCUUUCUAUUUUUGAUAAGUUUAUAUUUUUCAAAUUUUUAAAUGGUUCUUUGUGUAAUUAAAUUCUAUGUAUUAUAAUAUUUAUGAUGAGCCUACGGAUGCUUAUAAAAUUUCGUGACAUUACGAGCAUUGUGAAUUGACUAUAUAUCAAUAAAAUCCCACUAUACAUAUAUACAUAAAUAUACAUAUAUAGAUAUUAAUUAUAUUUGAAUUAGAAUUUCGUGGGCAGCCCUACAUCAUCUUUGUAGAACUAGUCCAGGAAAAAUGUAACAUACACAAAAAUGGCAUUCGGAUAGUACAAAUUGACGAUUACUAAACGUUUCCAUUGAGUAGUCGAAAUUAUAUAUUUUUUUUAUAUAUUGAAUGAAAUAAUCCUAUAUAAAAAAAAAUACUGAAUGCCAUUUUGAUAGGAUUAUAUUAUAAUGUUGUGUGUUUUACCAUAGAGUGAGUGAAAUCAAUUUGAAAGGAUAUGUUGAAUGGAAAUAAAUUAUUAAGGGACUUCUAAAGAAUUUUUAAAAAUGUUUUAUUGGAUAUAAUUCUUAUAGAUAUAAGUACUUAAAUAUGUAUUUAUAUCUUGGAUAUAAGUCUAACAAGUUUCUAGGUUUUUCGAAUUAUGUAUUAAUUUUUAUUUAUUAUUAUGUGCUUAGUACAGUUAGUGGAAAAUAAAGAUUCGAUUUAAUUCGAUUUCAAAUUUAAACAAGAGAUGUCUGUUUACUUAUAUCACCUUAGAUAUUGUUAAAAUAAAAUCAAUAAAAAUUAAAAAUUUCAAAAUCCAACACUCCAAUUAUUGUGAAAAAUAAGAAAUGUUUAAUUUACCUUUUUAAAUAAGAACUCUUUUUAUGAUAAUACUAUAAUAAUACAACAUAUAUUGGAAUAAUUUUCGUAAGUGCAAUUUUUACAAUAACAUUUACACAAAUUUGAAAUUACUUAAACAGACAUAAACCAUUCUUUUAGAAGUCCCUAAAGCGGAAAGUAGUUAGAUGGCGUGUAAUAAUGAUUAAUAAAUCAUUGAAAUCAUGCACAUCUUAUUUAAAAACAGGCUAGUUAUGUAUAAUGUUGGCUUAGACUCGACAGUAGCCAAGAAUAACUCGGCACAUGACCUAUCUUAUGCCAUAUUAGACACAUAGGUACAAAACAUUCUGUUAAACAUUGUUGUUUAUCCGUUGUUAUGUAAUAUUUACAUGUAAACAUUAAGUUCUGUACAUUGUUAAGAGGCAAAAAUUCAUACGAUAUUGUUUCUAUGUAGACUUGUAUUUUUAAUACUGUCUCAAAGUAUCCUUUGUAGGUAAUACAUUUUUCAUUUAAGAUAUAACAGUGUUGAUGUAUAAUGCCAGUGUAUGGGUGAUUUCAAGAAAACUGUGAUGCAGGUAUGCGUAAAGUUAAUCGAGCGUGUAUUGAAAUAGUUAAUAACUUAAAAAUUCACAUAGGUGAAAUUAUUUUAUUUUAGUUUUUAAGAGAUCCCAUACCCAAUAAUACCUACCAAGGAUCUUUUGAACGUAAAGUAAUUGACAAGCCUCUGUUUUUACAAUUGCAAAAUGAGGAUAAUAUAAUUAAUGGUAAAGUGAGGCUGCGCUGAGAUAUGUCUGUGCUGCUGUCUUACACUGUGAACAUUCUCUGUUGAGGCUGUGUCGUCCAUUUGUCUAUGAAUAGACAAAUUUCCAAAUUAAUCAAUAUAUCGAAUAUUGUCUACAGAGACAAUAUCUUUUGUAUUAAAUUUCGUAUAUGGCCUUACAAAUACACAAUGAACGUGUAACGUAGAUAUAUUAAACAACUGUAAAGCAUAUUGGAAUUGUUUUGUAGCACUUUAUAUACUCUCCAUUGUAAUAUGUUUGCAUAAACAUCUGAAGAGUACCGCAUUAAAAAAUGUUCAACACAAUAGAUAUGUAACAUCCCAUAUCUGAUAGAAAUUUUCUUUUUCAUUUCUUUUCAAUAUAACAAAAAAAUAUACAUAUACGUGAGUGUGUCUGUUAUAUUUUUUUUAUGUGUACACACAUUACGUGUGUGUGCGUGUGUGUGUCAUCAUAUAUAAAAUUUUAUAUUUGCAGAUUUACAUAAAAUGUAUGAGAAUUUGUAUUUUUUUAUAUAUAACAUUACUAUUUCUUUUUUUAUGUACAUCAAUAAGAACGACAAGGUUUUAUGAUGAUGUAUAUAUUUUUAUGUAAUAUUCCUAUGAACUAUGGGAUGUUACGAUAUGUCAAAUAUUCUGAGGCCUUAUUAUAAUCUUAGUCCAUUGGAAAUUAUGCAAUUGUACUGAAUUUUUCUGAAUAUCUAUCGAGAAUGCAUUAAGCGAUUAUCUAAUAAAGUUCAGAAAAUGAGGGAGUUUGUUAUAAAAUAAAUCCAAUGACUGACUGUAAUUAAAUAAAAUAAUACAUGGGAGAAUGUUCACUGUAUGCUUCAGGUGCUAUGAGGAUGGUGUUACAUUCUCAUGACAUGAUGUAAUAUUAAUUAAUACGAAAAACCCAUAUUGGUGUUUCUCAACUGAUAAGUUAUAGAACAAUUCGAAAGACAUUUAUUAAAAUAUGUAAUAUGCAAGGUGUAAGAAAAGCCAUCUUUAUUCGCACAAGCAAAGUCGACGAAAUACGCUUAUGGUGAUUUAAAACUUUUUUUUAUAUAAUAUAUUAUUUCAUCGAAAAGUGUAUUAUAUCUUUAUAUCUUAAAACUUCUAUAAACCACAAUUUCUUCCUUUAGGGUGAUACAUUGAAUUUAUUUAAUUUGCAGAAUGUAUAGGCAUAUAAGCGAUGUCAAUAAUACUCGCAAUAAUAACAGUAAAAACACAUGUAACAUGUGAGAAAUUUUUUGUGGAACAAAAGUGCAAAGAGCAGUCUCUCUGGAUUUACUGAUUCGAUUUUUUAUCCGUAAUGAAUAAAGGUGACAUUGCCUUAACGGAUAGCACUUGUAAUAUUUAAGAGCUACUCGGAGCUUGUGUUGAGAAACACCGCAUAAGAUACAUAACAUUAUUACGAGUACUAUUCUUAAUACUAAUCUCUUCUGUUUAGCCAUAACGAUUAUAUAAUUGUGCAUUCGCGCAUGUAAUUAUAUGAUUAUAGAUAAAUAAUCAUAUAAUUAUAUACAUUAUAUAUACAUAUAUAGGAUAUAUAAAAAAUACCAAGUAAAAUACGAUGUUGAAUUUUAAUUUGGGUUAUAUAGUUUUAUUUUAUAUUUAGAAAAAAAGGUAUAGGAGGGCAUUUAGCGUGACCAUUGGUUUGAACUAAAGAAUUUUACUAUAGCAUGUGCACACGCAUAUAUAAAUAUGUUAAAGAAAUUUUCCUAAUACGUAUAUAUUAUGUAGGAAAAAUCAUGAAGUGUGUGCAGAUCCAUAUCAAAAUUCUUUGGGUCAAAAAAAUAAUCUAACAUUAAUUCAAUCGCAAUUCCUGAUGUUUAGAUAAAGUAUAAUAUGUUACGAAUAUCUGUUCUUUCAUUUUGUUUUAAUCUUGUAAGUAGUAGAAUCGCUCCUCGAACAGUUCCUUAAAGAAAGAUACAAAAUAAGAGAUACCUACUGUGAAUUAUUGUAUCACAUUCGUGGUUUUUCGACAUCCUAAAUUGUAUACAUAUGUUAUAUAUAUAUAUAUACAUACAUAUAUCGCUCUACAAACUGUUGUAACAAUCUAUUUCAAAGGAUAAUUUUUCAACAGUAUGAUAUGCAAACAAUUCUUUUUGGACAUUUUUUUUAGUAUAUUCAUUUAAUAUGCUCCUCUUUCCAUUAUCUCGCUGAAUAAUAUCAAAUAAAUAAGUUAUACAAUGAAAAA